GCCGCGUCCUACGGGGCGACACCCCGGGGGCGGAGCGGCCCGCCGCUGCCCACAACCGCUCUGGCCGCGACUCUCGGGGGCUGCCGGACUAGGCCAAUGGCGGCGCGAGGGCGUGCCGCUCGCCUGGGGGCCUGGGCGGGGCGGCGCGCGCCCGGGCUGAGGUUUUGACAGCGGCCGAGCCCUGCACGCUGGCUGCCGGAACUCUGCCGGACCUCAAGGCGCCUGGAAGAGGAGAGCCCGAAGACAGAGCCAAAGCAACCCGGCUUCGUCCCCUCCGGGGCGGGAUCCUGCUUCUCCCUGGUAAAUGGGAAUGGCAGUGCCUGCUAAAGCGGAGGUCUCAGCUCCUGCCACUGUUUUAUCUGUUCCGCCAUCGGAGAGUCCUGCAAAGGCAGAGGCAGCCUUUAGCGUCUAUGUCCCCAAGGCUAGAAGAGUUCCAUGCACAGAGCCAGCGUGGAGCAACGGGGUUAUUAAAGAUGGGCCACUAUUUCACUUAUGCUUGCGUGUCUAGGUAUGGAAAUGAAAGCUCAAGAUUAAGAAAUGUAUCAAAGUUCUCAUAGUUCAGAGUGUCUAACUCCGUGACCAAGUGAUUUUCAGGAAGUGUGCCAUAACCACUCAUUGAAGAAAGAAUACUGUCUUCAACAGGUGCUAUUAGGAUAACAGGAUAGCCACAUGCAGAAGAAUGAACCCUUAUCUCACACCAUCUACAAACAGUAACUUAGGAUAGAACAGCAACCUUUGUGAAAAACAGAAAACACAGGGAUCAGUCUUCACUUUGGAUUCAACAGUGCAAUUUUUUGCUAAUUACUCUAAAUACAUGAGCAACGGAAGAAAACCUAGAUAAACUUGAGUUCAUCCAAAAUUAAAACAUUCCGGGGAUGGAGAGAUGACUCAGCGGUUAAUAGGUUCUGAGUUCAAUUCCCAGCAACCACAGGGUGGCUCACAACCAUCUACAGUGGGAUCUGAUGCCCUCUUCUGGCAUAAAUGUGUAUAUGCAGGUAGAGCACUCAUACGUAAAAUAAAUCUUUACAAAAUUAAAACAUUUCUGUAUCAGAGCAGAGUGAAAAGAUGGUUUAUCUAGGCUCUGCUAUGCAUGGCUGCUUCAAGAGAACUGCUUGGGUUCCAGAGUCAAGGCCAGCCUGGGCAACAGAGUGAAAGUUGGCUAAAAGAGAGAGCCUGGGCUACAUUGUAGGAGGACCCUUUUUGAAACAAACCUUCCCCACAUAGAAAAAAGUC
Molecule: long non-coding RNA, 1233 nt
Organism: Mesocricetus auratus (golden hamster)
Lineage: Eukaryota; Metazoa; Chordata; Mammalia; Rodentia; Cricetidae
Exons: 3
Source: RefSeq, a predicted model, not a curated record